CAGCAACCAACCACAGCCAUUGAUUCUCGCUCAGGAAUUGUUGCCAGCCAUUGGAUCGUGCAAAGAAGUGGGCCACCAUCGAAGCAUAUGGGAAGACAUGUUCUGGACCGUACGAUUGCGUGUUUGGCGUGAUCUCAGUCGUUCAAUCAUGCAAAACUCAUCUGCUCGCCUGUGCAUCGCAUCGUGGAUCGUGAGAUUUUCUGUGGAUCGCACCC
RNAcentral lists this long non-coding RNA (215 nucleotides) under Elaeis guineensis (African oil palm). RNAcentral describes it as "long non-coding RNA (EGUI_LNC035965)". The record is from RNAcentral. Lineage: Eukaryota; Viridiplantae; Streptophyta; Magnoliopsida; Arecales; Arecaceae.